GGUGGCUCAGUGGUAGAGCGCUUGUCUUGCAUGCAUGAGGAGCUGGGUUCAACUCCUCAGCACCA
RNAcentral lists this transfer RNA (65 nucleotides) under Dipodomys ordii (Ord's kangaroo rat). It matches the Rfam family "tRNA". Rfam says of the family: Transfer RNA (tRNA) molecules are approximately 80 nucleotides in length. Their secondary structure includes four short double-helical elements and three loops (D, anti-codon, and T loops). Lineage: Eukaryota; Metazoa; Chordata; Mammalia; Rodentia; Heteromyidae. The record is from Rfam by way of RNAcentral.